AUUGAACGCUGGCGGCAGGCCUAACACAUGCAAGUCGAGCGGAUGAAGGGAGCUUGCUCCUGGAUUCAGCGGCGGACGGGUGAGUAAUGCCUAGGAAUCUGCCUGGUAGUGGGGGAUAACGUCCGGAAACGGGCGCUAAUACCGCAUACGUCCUGAGGGAGAAAGUGGGGGAUCUUCGGACCUCACGCUAUCAGAUGAGCCUAGGUCGGAUUAGCUAGUUGGUGGGUUAAAGGCCUACCAAGCCGACGAUCCGUAACUGGUCUGAGAGGAUGAUCAGUCACACUGGAACUGGAACACGGUCCAGACGCCUACGGGAGGCAGCAGUGGGGAAUAUGGGACAAUGGGCGAAAGCCUGAUCCAGCCAUGCCGCGUGUGUGAAGAAGGUCUUCGGAUUGGAAAGCACUUUAAGUUGGGAGGAAGGGCAGUAAGUUAAUACCUUGCUGUUUUGACGUUACCAACAGAAUAAGCACCGGCUAACUUCGUG
Molecule: ribosomal RNA, 484 nt
Filed under: uncultured bacterium
Lineage: Bacteria
Description: partial 16S ribosomal RNA
Rfam family: Bacterial small subunit ribosomal RNA
Source: RNAcentral